AAUAAGCACAGUUAUGGGUUUCAGUGUUCAACUUUAACUAUCCAUUUUAUUUGAAAUAUUUUUAUAAUUAGUAUUUUUAUUGUAACUUUUAAAUUUUUUUUUAUAAAUUUUUUAAAUAAGACGGAUGGUCAAACGUUACAGACGGAAACUUAUGGCUGCAUUUAUG
MicroRNA precursor from Oryza rufipogon (brownbeard rice), 166 nucleotides. It matches the Rfam family "MIR812 microRNA precursor family". The record is from Rfam. NCBI's taxonomy places the organism in Eukaryota, Viridiplantae, Streptophyta, Magnoliopsida, Poales, Poaceae.